This 869-nucleotide ribosomal RNA is filed under the name uncultured bacterium. Its description in RNAcentral is "bacterial SSU rRNA". It matches the Rfam family "Bacterial small subunit ribosomal RNA", at positions 28 to 896 of the family's 1533-position model. The record is from RNAcentral.
GAUGAACGCUAGUGGCAGGCCUAAUACAUGCAAGACGAACGGUAAGUUGAGUAGCAAUACUUGACCUAGAGUGUCGCACGGGUGCGUAACACGUAUGCAACCUACCCAUAACAGGAGGAUAGCUCCCCGAAAGGGGAAUUAACCCUCCAUAGUAUAAUUGGAUGGCAUCAUUUGAUUAUUAAAACUGAGGUGGUUAUGGAUGGGCAUGCGUCUGAUUAGUUAGUUGGCGGGGUAACGGCCCACCAAGGCGAUGAUCAGUAGGGGAACUGAGAGGUUGAUCCCCCACACUGGCACUGAGAUACGGGCCAGACUCCUACGGGAGGCAGCAGUAGGGAAUAUUGGUCAAUGGAUGGAAGUCUGAACCAGCCAUGCCGCGUGCAGGAAGAAGGCCUUAUGGGUUGUAAACUGCUUUUGCCAGGGGAUAAAAUAGCUGUGCGCAGCGAAUUGCAGGUACCUGGUGAAUAAGCCACGGCUAACUACGUGCCAGCAGCCGCGGUAAUACGUAGGUGGCAAGCGUUGUCCGGAUUUAUUGGGUUUAAAGGGUGCGUAGGCGGCCCUGUAAGUCAGUGGUGAAAUACUCCAGCUUAACUGGAGGGGUGCCAUUGAUACUGCAGGGCUUGAGUAAAGUUGAAGUUGGCGGAAUUGACGGUGUAGCGGUGAAAUGCUUAGAUAUCGUCAAGAACACCGAUAGUGAAGACAGCUAACUAAGCUUUAACUGACGCUGAGGCACGAAAGUGUGGGGAUCAAACAGGAUUAGAUACCCUGGUAGUCCACACUGUAAACGUUGAUGACUCGCUGUUGGCGAUACACAGCCAGCGGCCAAGCGCAAGCGAUAAGUCAUCCACCUGGGGAGUACGCCGGCAACGGUG